This 468-nucleotide ribosomal RNA is filed under the name uncultured bacterium. Its description in RNAcentral is "partial 16S ribosomal RNA". It matches the Rfam family "Bacterial small subunit ribosomal RNA", at positions 28 to 507 of the family's 1533-position model. The record is from RNAcentral.
GACGAACGCUGGCGGCGUGCUUAACACAUGCAAGUCGAACGGAAAGGCCCUGCUUUUGUGGGGUGCUCGAGUGGCGAACGGGUGAGUAACACGUGAGUAACCUGCCCUUGACUUUGGGAUAACUUCAGGAAACUGGGGCUAAUACCGGAUAGGAGCUCCUGCUGCAUGGGGGGGGUUGGAAAGUUUCGGCGGUUGGGGAUGGACUCGCGGCUUAUCAGCUUGUUGGUGGGGUAGUGGCUUACCAAGGCUUUGACGGGUAGCCGGCCUGGGAGGGUGACCGGCGACAUUGGGACUGAGAUACGGCCCAGACUCCUACGGGACGCAGCAGUGGGGAAUAUUGCACAAUGGGCGGAAGCCUGAUGCAGCAACGCCGCGUGCGGAAUGACGGCCUUCGGGUUGUAAACCGCUUUCGCCUGUGACGAAGCGUGAGUGACGGUAAUGGGUAAAGAAGCACCGGCUAACUACGUG